AGCUGCGGCUGCUAACAGAGGUGGCUGUUGGGAGAGAGACAGAGGGAGGCAACGCCGCCUGGUCCCGCCCUCGCAUUUUCCUGCUUAACUCAACCUGGAGUGUUGGCACCUGUUUCCUCCCUGCGUUCUCCUUGUACUAUACAGGGAAGUCAGUCACUCCGGACUCUCUGGACGUCCAGGCUGGGUGGAAUAAGGGGUCUGGGUGGAACAGGGGGCUCUGCCCUCUACGGUGACUUUCUAAAAGGUACCACUAAUGUUUUUUGACAGUGCAGCGCCCUAGGGUGGGCGGCGGAGAGGAGGCUUCGGUUACUAAACCGCUUAAUUCUUUUUGUUCUGGUGAUCGGAUUUGUUUCCCCGGCCUCCUCCCCUGCCCCAUCUCCCUCCCCUCCUUUAGCGAACUGACACAGGCAGCCCCUGCUCGCUUGUGUUCGAUGUUGGAACACGCACCUUCUCGGCGGUGACUGUGCCCAGCGUACUGGGGACAAGGGGACAGCGGCGGUUUCCCUUCCUCCCAGCCGACGAUGCCCAGGGGCAGCGGUUGAGCUGCGUGGGGCUCGGCCCGCAGCACUUCGAGGCGGGAUUGAGGGUCUGCAGCUGGUUAGGAGUUGCUGUUAAUUGGACUUGGCGCCAAGUCUCCGAGAGGGCAUCAGCUGGGACCUAUCUGCUAAAAGCGGGAACAGGGGCGCCUGACGGAGGAACUCCAGCGUCUCGCGGGCGGAAGACUGCCGAGCUCAGAGCCUCUCCUCCUUCCUGCCCCGAAGCUCCCCAGCAACUCGCGCACAACGGAGACCCGGGACCUACGAGAGGCAGGAAACUGGAGAAGUACGUGGCGGAGGCUGCUUUUCUGAAGGUGAACUGUUCCGUCCAAUUGCCUUUCCCCAGAGAGCAAAAAGGGAGGGAGGGGGAAAAAGAACCGAGUAUGCGUGAGUGUGUGUAUGUGUGAGAGGCAGAGACGACGUGUGGCAGGAGGAAAAGUCUUUACUCGGCGUUCAAAGCAAACAAAUCAGAGAUGGAGUAAGAGCGGUAACUGCUGCAAGACCGCCUUGAUUCUCGCAUUGUGAGGAGCUGAGCGCACCGCGCGCAUCCGGCGAGGACCGCUGGCGACCGUGGGCGCUGGCGAGGGCUGCGGGACUUCGGCGUUUCCCCAGUAAACAAAUCUUUUGAUUACUUUGACUUGUGAAAAACGAGAGGAGGAAAGAAACGAGGCUCCCGCACGCCACCUUCCACCCACUUUAAGGGGAUUCCAGUUUGGAUGUCUAGAGAUUCCUGAACCCUCUUUGCUCUCGGAGGAGGAAACACACGCGCGCGCGCACACACACGCACGCUUGGGGCCACACUCACACGCCCUCCACGAGCACACACCACCAGACUUCGGUUCCCUAUGCCCCAGAACGGUGACAGCGGAUUGGCAUCUUGGAAGCGAUGCAAGAGCGAUAAGGCUGGCGCGGGCCCGCGGAAGCUGCAGGAGCAUCGCUAGGUGUUGCCGCCACCAGGAAGCCGGGCUGCAGAAGAACCUUAUUGCUUCAUGGAGAAAUGAUAAACAUGAACAGGAGAUGGGAUGAAGUGACACUCUAUAGUUUUGCUUUGGGAUGAGUAAGAGAUACUUACAGAAAGCAACAAAAGGAAAACUGCUAAUAAUAAUAUUUAUUGUAACCUUGUGGGGGAAAGUUGUGUCCAGUGCAAACCAUCAUAAAGCUCACCAUGUUAAAACGGGCACUUGCGAGGUGGUGGCACUCCACAGAUGUUGUAAUAAGAACAAGAUAGAAGAACGGUCACAAACAGUCAAGUGCUCCUGCUUCCCUGGGCAGGUGGCAGGUACCACACGAGCUGCUCCCUCUUGUGUGGAUGCUUCAAUAGUGGAACAGAAAUGGUGGUGCCAUAUGCAACCAUGUCUUGAGGGAGAAGAAUGUAAAGUUCUUCCAGAUCGGAAAGGAUGGAGCUGUUCCUCCGGGAAUAAAGUGAAAACAACUAGGGUCCAGACUUUUCCCCGGACUCCCUCCCGGCUAGCCGUGGCGCACUAACCCCUUGCAGGCUGUGUUCAUGCCGCCAACCCCAGUCCUCUCCCGGAGCUCCGACCGAAGCCCGAGCCUCAACUCCCAGCCCCGCCCGCCCCGGCGGGUGAGCAGACAAGCCGCUCGGACUGGUAACCCAUUAACAAAGGAUAAAUCAAGUGAUCCUCAAGGCUGAUUACACUGAACAUCAGCAUAGAAACAUAACUCAUGAGGUGAUCUUGAAGGAAAAUUUUUAUACAGCUCACAAGAGGCACUCUGGAGUCUGCUAUUUCCAGGGGAUUUCAUGGCUUGUAAUCAGCUUCUUCUUGGAAUCAAGACUUUUUAAAAGUCCGACAUGAACUUCUAUAUCAUGAAGAUUUCAUCAGAUUUGAACUGUGUUCAACUUGUAUAAUUGCACUUGCAAAAAGGAUUUGAAGUUACUGUCUGAAGAGUUGGCGUUGCCGGAUGGUGUCAGAGACACUUACCUUUUGGGCUCUUGGCUCCAAAUGUGACUGCUUUUCUUGUUUCUGAGUCUCCCAAGUGCACUGGCCUUCUGUCAUGGACCUGUUCCUGAGUCCUGUGUUCAGUGGCUAGGACUGCACAUGGCUUCAGUGACUUUUCCUUUGCGAACUUCUCCUCUGGCAUGGUGUAGACUGAGACAAUUUAUUUGUAUCCUAAUCUUGAAGCUCUGAAAGCCUACAUGUUUUAACAUCUUAAAGUUGCUUUUGUUAAAGGAAUGGAAAUAUAUAUCCAUUGAUAAUAAUUAUUGUUGGCAAGUAAAGUUAUCUGAAUACAUCAAUCAUAUAAGAAUGUAUAGACAAGCUGACAUGUUUCCCCAAGGCUAACACACUGCUGCAGCUCUCUGUCAGUAAAAUAGGUAGUAGUUAGAACUGAAUUACCAUUUUCAUUAUAUACUCCUGUUUGGUACCUCUAGAGUACUCUCCCUUUCAGUUUUUUUUGUUUUUUUUUUUUUAAGUGGGCUUUUUCUUUCAUUUUUAUCUUUACUUUUUCCCUUCACAGAAAUUAGCAGUGAGCAGUCAAGUAUUUAGGUAACCUUCAGUUUCAAAAAAUUGCCAAGGAUGCACGUGGGUUUUGAUUUCUUAGCUUGAAAGUUAUUCACUUAGAUUUCUUCUAGUAUUUUUUUAAACUGUCCUUUCUAUCUCAUUCUAAAAAGGCUGUCUCUUGUUCUAUCCCAAUGACUGUUUGAAUGCCUAUCUAUUUGUUUAUUCAGUCUGUUGGUAGAAUAAAUUGUAGAAAAAUUCUUUUCCUUGGUCUAAAUUUUAUAAAUAUUUGCUUACAGUUGUCCCGUUCAAACAAUUUCUUUAGUCAGUCUUUGUCCACGUUUUCGUAGUACUUUUAACAUUUGUGGUUUUCAGUUCUACAGGAAAAUCUUAUAAAUAUUUCAAGGCCUUAAACAUGUAUGUACUUGUUUUUCUAAGUUACUCGCAGAAUGUAUAAUUUUAUACUACAUCUGCUUUGUUUCAUUUGUGAUGCGGAGGGAGAGAAGAAUGGAAAUUGCAUAGCCAUUCUGGAUAUUGUAUAAAGGUAUAGUUUGAAAGAAUGUAAAGGGGGAGGAGCUUCUAUGUUUUACUCAUCUUAGACUAAUAGGAAGAUACUUCAGAAAUUGUCCUAUUAGAAGUUCCAUUAUGUUAGAGAAGGUGUGGACAUCUUUUGUUUUUUAAAACUCACUGACAUGGCCAAUUAGGUAUAUGUUGACUUCCAUGAUGGAGGCUGACAUACAGACCAAAGCUCUCCAGGCUAAAUUGAUAACAACUUUCAAAGACCAAGACAUUACCCAGAAUCUUUUCUCGGCAGAAUGACUAAAAGUGUAAAAUUUGUUAAUUAAAUUUGUAAAGUAUGCUUUUGAUAUUGAACUAAAGUAAACUAUACUACCCCGUAAGUCCAUGGAAUGGAAUGACUUUCUCCUUCCAUUUUAAUUAUGCAUAUACAACUAGAUGGCUCUGAGUGAAUUUUGCAAUGGUUCAAGACUGUCUCAACUCAUAAAGAAAGGAGUAACAGUUGUGCUGGAGUUUCUGCAUCAGUAAUAAUAUCAUUAAUUUCUUUGGAACAAAGUGGAAAACUAUAUUAUUUUGGAAAUAAUGAAUUUGUCCUAGGUUUGAAAUUAUAAAUCAUGCCUCUCAUUUUUUAAACUAUGUCCCUUAAAACAACACUGGAAAUUCUGUAUUAUAUUCAAGUGUAAUACAUGCAUAUCAAUAGAAAAAAAUAAAUGGAAUUUCAAAUAUAUUAACUAGAUUAUCCCCAGUAGAUUAAUGUUGUGACUCUUCAGAAAAGGCGAAUAAAAUUGGAAUA
Molecule: RNA transcript, 4301 nt
Organism: Globicephala melas (long-finned pilot whale)
Lineage: Eukaryota; Metazoa; Chordata; Mammalia; Artiodactyla; Delphinidae
Gene: TAFA2
Gene name: TAFA chemokine like family member 2
Source: RefSeq, a predicted model, not a curated record